This 601-nucleotide ribosomal RNA is filed under the name uncultured bacterium. RNAcentral's name for it is "bacterial SSU rRNA". It matches the Rfam family "Bacterial small subunit ribosomal RNA", at positions 735 to 1340 of the family's 1533-position model. The record is from RNAcentral.
CUUAACUGACGCUAAAGCUCGAAAGUGCGGGUAUCGAACAGGAUUAGAUACCCUGGUAGUCCGCACGGUAAACGAUGGAUGCCCGCUGUUGGCGAUAUAUUGUCAGCGGCCAAGCGAAAGCGUUAAGCAUCCCACCUGGGGAGUACGCCGGCAACGGUGAAACUCAAAGGAAUUGACGGGGGCCCGCACAAGCGGAGGAACAUGUGGUUUAAUUCGAUGAUACGCGAGGAACCUUACCCGGGCUUGAACUGCCAGCGAACGAUACAGAGAUGUUGAGGCCCUUCGGGGCGCUGGUGGAGGUGCUGCAUGGUUGUCGUCAGCUCGUGCCGUGAGGUGUCGGCUUAAGUGCCAUAACGAGCGCAACCCCUCUCGCCAGUUGCCAUCAGGUGAUGCUGGGCACUCUGGCGACACUGCCACCGUAAGGUGUGAGGAAGGUGGGGAUGACGUCAAAUCAGCACGGCCCUUACGUCCGGGGCUACACACGUGUUACAAUGGGUGGUACAGAGAGUCAAUCCCCAGCAAUGUGGAUUCAAUCCUUAAAGCCAUCCUCAGUUCGGAUUGGGGUCUGCAACCCGACCCCAUGAAGCUGGAUUCGCUAAUA